This 1306-nucleotide ribosomal RNA is filed under the name Nephrotoma sp. RNAcentral's name for it is "16S ribosomal RNA". The stretch from base 608 to 1306 matches the Rfam family "Archaeal large subunit ribosomal RNA", at positions 1423 to 2852 of the family's 2987-position model. Lineage: Eukaryota; Metazoa; Arthropoda; Insecta; Diptera; Tipulidae. The record is from RNAcentral.
UUAAAAUUUUGUUUAGUUAUUUAUAUAAUAAAAAUAAUUUUAAUUUCAUAGUUUUUGUAGUUUUUAAUGAAAAAAUAAUUAUUAAUGAUAGUGUAUUAGUAUUGUGAAAGAAUGAUGAAAUAAAUUGAAAAUAAAUUAAUUAAAAAGAAAAUUUUAUUUAUUGUACCUUGUGUAUCAGGGUUUAUUAAAUAAAAAAUAUAUAUAAAUAUUUUUCUCGAAUUUAAAAGAGCUAAUUAAUUAUUUUAGUUAUUGUAGCAUAAAUAUUAAUAAUAAUUAAUUAGAAAUGAAAUGUUAUUCGUUUUUAAAUAUAUCUAGUUUUUUAAGAAAUAAAUUUAAUUUAUAUAUUUUUAAUUGUAAUAAAUUAAUUUAUUAAUUUAUUAUUUAAUAAUAUAAAUAUUUUAGGGGAUAAGCUUUAAAAUAAAUUUUUAUAAAAUUUUUUAUUAAAAAUAAUUAUAGGUUUAGAAAUAGCCAUUAAUUGUAAGUAUGUUAUAAUAUAUUUUUAUUAAAUAUUAUUUAUUUAAUUUUUAAAUUUUUAUUAAAAUAUUAAUUUUAAUAAUUAAAAUUAAGGAAUAAUGAUAAAAUUAGUAUAUUGAAUUAUGUAAAUAAAUAUAAAUGAUAGGUUUUAAAAAGGAACUCGGCAAAUAAAAUAUUCGCCUGUUUAUCAAAAACAUGUCUUUUUGUUUUUAUUUAAAGUCUAACCUGCCCACUGAAAUUAUUUGAAGGGCCGCGGUAUUUUGACCGUGCAAAGGUAGCAUAAUCAUUAGUUUUUUAAUUGAAAGCUUGUAUGAAUGGUUGGACGAAAUAUUGACUGUCUUUAUAAAAUUUAUAAUAGAAUUUAACUUUUUUGUUAAAAGGCAAAAAUUAAUUUAAAGGACGAGAAGACCCCAUAGAGCUUUAUAUUUUUAUAAUAUUAUUUAUAAAGAAUUAAUUUAAAUUUUAUUAAAAAAAGUAUUUUGUUGGGGUGACAGUAAAAUUUAAUAAACUUUUAUUAUUUUAUAACAUUGAUUUUUGGUUUAUUGAUCCAAUUUUAUUGAUUAAAAAAUUAAGUUACCUUGGGGAUAACAGCGUAAUUUUUUUAAAGAGUUCAUAUCGACAAAAAAGAUUGCGACCUCGAUGUUGGAUUAAGAGUAAUUUUAGGUGUAGAAGUUUAAAUUAUUAGGUCUGUUCGACCUUUAAAUUCUUACAUGAUCUGAGUUCAAACCGGCGUAAGCCAGGUUGGUUUCUAUCCUUAAAAAAUUAAAAUAUUUUAGUACGAAAGGACCAAAUAUUUAAUAUAUUAAUAUUUUAUUUUAUGAAUGUAAUUAAU